UACAGAGGGUGCAAGCGUUAAUCGGAAUUACUGGGCGUAAAGAGUUCGUAGGUGGUUGCUUAAGUCUGAUGUUAAAUACCGAAGCUUAACUUCGGCAUGGCAUUGGAAACUGGGCGGCUGGAGUCCGUCAGAGGUAACUGGAAUUCCUGGUGUAGCGGUGAAAUGCGUAGAUAUCAGGAGGAACACCCGUGGCGAAAGCGAGUUACUGGGACGGUACUGACACUGAGGAACGAAAGCCUGGGGAGCGAAAGGG
Molecule: ribosomal RNA, 253 nt
Filed under: uncultured bacterium
Lineage: Bacteria
Description: partial 16S ribosomal RNA
Rfam family: Bacterial small subunit ribosomal RNA
Source: RNAcentral